CUCAUCUGAAUUGUACUCCCACAAUUCCCACACGUUGUGGGAGGGACCCAUCGGGAGAUAACUUGAAUCAUGGGGAAGUUUCCCCUACACUGUUCUCAGGGAAGUGAAUAAGUCUCAUGAGAUCCGACGGUUUUAUCAGGGGUUUUCGCUUGUACAUCUUCCUCACUUUCUCUUACCACCGCCAUGUAAGAAGUGCCUUUCACUGCCCACCAUGAUCCUGAGACCUCCCCAGCCAUGUGGAACUAACCUGUUGCCAAGGAAACAUCAAUAUCCAAGUACAUUCAAGAUACAGCAAAGGAAGUAGAAGCAGAGCUUUGGAUUCAGGGGAAUCCUCAUCCAUCACAUUUUCUGGUUUUGCAUGAAGCAUUAUUUUUCAACCCUG
This 382-nucleotide long non-coding RNA is filed under the name Homo sapiens (human). RNAcentral describes it as "HSALNT0075470". The record is from RNAcentral. Lineage: Eukaryota; Metazoa; Chordata; Mammalia; Primates; Hominidae.